This is a long non-coding RNA of Gallus gallus (chicken), 542 nucleotides long. Lineage: Eukaryota; Metazoa; Chordata; Aves; Galliformes; Phasianidae. The record is from Ensembl.
AAAAACUAUCCACAUAAGCCCUUGGUUGUACAUUUUAUUUUAUGACUGAUGACAACCAUACCCAAGAGAUUUCAGCACAUAGGCUCUUGUUCCCAACAAACCUAGAGGCAAACCAAAUGAGACAGAGCAAUUCAAAAAUGUGGCAUUUUAACAAACUGGACCUGCUUCUCUGCUGUCAAAGAAACCCGCAUAAGCAUAAAUGCUUCUGGAAAAAAAGCACUUGAAUUUCACACAAUUUAAGGAUUUGAAGAGAUGCUAUUUUACAUUCGCCCUCCCAGCUGCUAGAGUACCUGCCAGGUUCGUGUUGGGAGCCAUGUUUGGCAGUGAGGCACUGGCACAGGUUGCCCAGAACAGCUGUGGAUGCCCCAUUCCUGAAGGAUGAGAACUGUUCGUUCUAUUUUGUGAUAUUAUCUCAUUUCACUGCAUUAUUCAUUGUUCUAGACCAUGAGCCACAUGUGAACCCUAAUUUAAAAAGACUAAAGCAAUAUGAAACUUAAAACUCUGGUGUGAAUACAUCUUAGAGCUGCCCACUCAUGACAGCA